RNAcentral lists this ribosomal RNA (253 nucleotides) under uncultured bacterium. RNAcentral's name for it is "partial 16S ribosomal RNA". It matches the Rfam family "Bacterial small subunit ribosomal RNA", at positions 524 to 776 of the family's 1533-position model. The record is from RNAcentral.
GACGUAGGGCGCGAGCGUUGUCCGGAUUUAUUGGGCGUAAAGAGCUCGUAGGCGGUCUGUCGCGUCUGCUGUGAAAUCCCGAGGCUCAACCUCGGGCUUGCAGUGGGUACGGGCAGGCUAGAGUGCGGUAGGGGAGAAUGGAACUCCUGGUGUAGCGGUGGAAUGCGCAGAUAUCAGGAAGAACACCGAUGGCGAAGGCGGUUCUCUGGGCCGUAACUGACGCUGAGGAGCGAAAGCGUGGGGAGCGAACAGG